Molecule: non-coding RNA, 227 nt
Organism: Pelobates cultripes (western spadefoot toad)
Lineage: Eukaryota; Metazoa; Chordata; Amphibia; Anura; Pelobatidae
Source: the annotation of a GenBank genome assembly
AUCAUCUCUCAGUCUUUAAUGUCGUUCGUCUGUAAUGUGUCUAGAGUGUGGAUGAUGGGAUGGGUGGGGGGUGGUCGGUGAGCAUGUUGUGUCUUUCAGUCACCUUCUUCCCGCCUGUAUCUUCUAUGGCCCCGUCUCACAGUGCCUAUUGGCAUGAGUGUGGGGUUGUGGGGGGGUGUCCUUGCGUCUUAGUGUAGUCCUGUUUAGGGUUUGAUCCCUAGUGUCAG